AUUGAUUAACUCAUGAUUAACUUAUAUGUGGUUAAUAUUUUGGAUAAAAUUUAAUAGAAGAAAAGUUGAACGAUGAAUAUUAUUAGUGCUAAAAUAAUUCUUUUUUUCUGAUUGGUUAACUGCAUAAGGUGAUUGAAAGAAAGUUGAAGAAGGAUUAUAAUUGGUUUAAAAUUUAGGAAUGACUUCUGAUUAAUCCUAAAAUAAUUUCUAUUUUUUGAUUGGUUAACCGCAUAUAGUGGUAAAAGGAAGGUUGAAGAAUUAAUAUGAUUCGUCUAAAAAUUAGGAAUGACCUCUGAUUGGUCCUAAAAUAAUUCUUCUUUUCUGAUUGGUUAACUGCAUAUUCCUAUUUUCUGAUUGGUUAAGUGCAUAUAGUGGUAAAAAGAAAGUUGGAGAAUGAAUAUGAUUGGUCUAAAAUUUAGAAAUCACUUCUGAUUGUGCCUAAAACUCUGAUUGGUUAACUGCAUAUCUGGUUAGACUCAGGUAUUAUAGGAUAGGACAGGAUAUGAUUCGUUAUUUGAUAAAAAAAAUAAAAUUUAUAUAUUUUUGACUAGAAAUAGGUUGUUUUUAGAAAGUAGGACACCGUUUCACCCAAAUCAACAACUGUCCCCAUGUCGAUUCCGUCGCAAUCAGACGCCGAGAACGAGGCAGAACAACAGCCCGACUCGCAAAAUUCUCUUCCACCUUCUCAUCAUCCUAAUGCACCUCCCGACGAGCUAUUUGACGUCUUGACAACGGUUGAUCCUAGUUAUGUGAUAUCCUUGAUACGGAAACUUUUACCUCCCAGAACUACUAGUAGUGUUGUUACUUGUGAAAAUGGGGAUAAGACGUGUGAUACGGUGGUGUUAGAGGCGGAAGGGGAAUGUAUGGAAGAAGGUGGAUCGUUGAGGCAGGAAAAUGAAGUGCAGGACGUGUGUAAUGAUGAACAUGAAUCCAUGGAAACAGUAAAUGCAUUUGGUGAGGCAGGUGGUCCAGGUGCAAGUGAUGAGAGGUUGUCCGAGCAAGAUAAACAUGAGGUUGCAUUAGUGGGCGAAAAAGCUUGGGAAGAGUAUGGAUGUAUUUUGUGGGACCUUGCUGCGAAUAGAACACAUGCUGAACUUAUGGUCCAGAACCUAAUUCUUGAAGUUCUUCUGGCCAACCUAUUGGUUUCCCAAUCUGCACGUGUUACUGAGAUAAGCCUUGGGAUUAUUGGAAACCUUGCUUGCCAUGAAAUUCUGCAGAAUAAUAUAUCCAAGACAGAGGGAUUGAUAGAAAUAAUUGUUGAUAAGUUGUUUUUAGAUGACAUCCCAUGCCUAUCUGAAGCUUGCAGGUUACUGACUUUGUGUUUACAAGGUAUUGAAGGUCUUCCAUGGGCUGAGGCAAUACAACCUGAAAAUGUUAUAUCCCGCAUUUUAUGGAUUGCAGAAAACUCCUUGAAUCCACAGCUUAUAGAAAAGAGUGUAGGUUUAUUGUUAUCUGUAUUAGAAUGUCAGACGGAAGUUCAAUCUCUUCUGCUACCUGGAUUAAUGAAUUUGGGUCUUCCCAGAAUUCUUAUGAAUUUGUUGGCUUUUGAAAUGAGCAAAUUAAUGGGAGAACGGGUACCUGAAAGGUAUCCUGUUAUUGACUUGUUACUACGGACAGCUGAAGCCCUUUCUGUUGCUGAUGAUUAUUCACAAGAACUUUGUUCAAGUAAGGAGCUAUUCCGUCUGCUCAUUGACUUGAUCAAACUUCCUGAUAAGAUCGAGGUUGCUAAUUGUUGUGUUACUGCUGCUAUUUUGAUGGCCAAUAUGCUUACUGAUGCAGUGGGCUUAGUCAUGGAGAUAUCACAGGAUUUGCUGUUCUUAGGGUGUUUGCUUGAUUUAUUUUCCUUUGCUUCGGAUGAUGCUGAGGCACGAAAAGCAAUAUGGAGCAUUAUAUCAGUAUUGCUGCAGUUUCAAGAUGUUGAAGUGACCCCAUCAAUUCUGCAGCAGCAUGUUUCAGUUUUAGUAAUUAAUUCAGAUCUCAUCAAAGAGGAACUCUUUGACCAUGAGCUUGAGGACUCGAACAUAAAUCACGAGAGCUUGACUAAUCACGCUGUACUAAAUCCCAGAACUACCGCACUAAGAAGAAUCUGUAAUCUUAUAAGCCGAUGGAGAACGUUGAAGGAUCAUGGCAACGGAAACGGUAUCACAGAAAAAGAUUAUGAUGAUAAAGAUGUUGACAAAUUGCUGGAGUGCUGCUAUAGAUUUGCCAAGUGAGAUGAUCAAGAUGUUGACAAAUUGCUGGAGUGCUGCUAUAGAUUUGCCAAGUGAGAUGAUCAUAUCGUUCUCCAAAACGGAGAAUGGAGUUUCCUGUUCUUUGCAUCUGAAAGAAAAAAAAUAUGACUUUCACCUCCUCCAUUCUAGCUCAAUUCAAGUACCCUUCAUGAGCAGCACGGCAAAAUAAUUUAUCAGCGUGUUUGAUGGUUUUAAAGUGCUGAAGCUUCCUUAUAAACAUGGUUCCAACCAAAUUUUGGAAGGAACUCCUGCGUGUUGCAUGUACAUAGGUGGUUUCCUUGACAGACAUGUUCCAUAUAAGAGGGUGAAUCUUGGAGAAUUUAAGAUUCCAAAAUUUAAAUUUGAGUAUGAAAUUGAAGUAUCACAAGCAUUACAGAGUCUAGGUCUGGUCUUGCCCUUUGAUCUGAUGGCUUUGGCCUCAGGAAGAUGGUGUAUGAUCAUCCUCUCUGCGUCUCCAGGAUGUUCCAUAAAUCUUUAAUUGAAAAACAUUACUGAACUCAUAGCUACUUCAAGUAGUUGGUAUGCGGAAAAACAGAAGAUCAGGAUUAACUUUGUUGCAGAACACCCAUUUUUGUACGUCAUUAAAGAAAACAAACCGUAACUGUGCAGUUCAUUGGACAUGUGCUUAAUCCUUCGAAGGCUUGAAUUGCUAGUCUUAGUUUUCGAGCUCAUAAUCCUUAGCUACUCAGAUAAUCGGGUAAAUUUCUGUCUGAUAUCUAUUCCUCACAUCCAAGGCAUCUUAUUAUUUUAGAAAGAGAUGAUUUACUUAUUUCUGUUA
Daucus carota subsp. sativus is the source of this 3009-nucleotide RNA transcript. RefSeq lists it as uncharacterized. The transcript is spliced from 11 exons. Lineage: Eukaryota; Viridiplantae; Streptophyta; Magnoliopsida; Apiales; Apiaceae. The record is from RefSeq and is a predicted model, not a curated record.